UCAAAAUGCGGCACAUUACUCAUUUUGGAGA
This 31-nucleotide non-coding RNA is filed under the name Homo sapiens (human). Lineage: Eukaryota; Metazoa; Chordata; Mammalia; Primates; Hominidae. The record is from RNAcentral.